AUUGAACGCUGGCGGCAUGCUUUACACAUGCAAGUCGAACGGCAGCACGGGGGCUUGCUCCUGGUGGCGAGUGGCGAACGGGUGAGUAAUGCAUCGGAACGUACCCAGUAGUGGGGGAUAGCCCGGCGAAAGCCGGAUUAAUACCGCAUAUUUCCUGAGGGAGAAAGCGGGGGACCUUCGGGCCUCGCGCUACUGGAGCGGCUGAUGUCGGAUUAGCUAGUUGGUGAGGUAAAGGCUCACCAAGGCGACGAUCCGUAGCUGGUCUGAGAGGAUGAUCAGCCACACUGGGACUGAGACACGGCCCAGACUCCUACGGGAGGCAGCAGUGGGGAAUUUUGGACAAUGGGGGCAACCCUGAUCCAGCCAUGCCGCGUGAGUGAAGAAGGCCUCGGUUGUAAG
This 399-nucleotide ribosomal RNA is filed under the name uncultured bacterium. RNAcentral describes it as "bacterial SSU rRNA". It matches the Rfam family "Bacterial small subunit ribosomal RNA", at positions 30 to 429 of the family's 1533-position model. The record is from RNAcentral.